GGGGAUGUAGCUCAGUGGUAGAGCACUUGCCCCGAAUGUGUGAAGCCUUUGUAUUCCAUCCCCA
Molecule: transfer RNA, 64 nt
Filed under: Heterocephalus glaber (naked mole-rat)
Lineage: Eukaryota; Metazoa; Chordata; Mammalia; Rodentia; Bathyergidae
Rfam family: tRNA
About the family: Transfer RNA (tRNA) molecules are approximately 80 nucleotides in length. Their secondary structure includes four short double-helical elements and three loops (D, anti-codon, and T loops). Further hydrogen bonds mediate the characteristic L-shaped molecular structure. tRNAs have two regions of fundamental functional importance: the anti-codon, which is responsible for specific mRNA codon recognition, and the 3' end, to which the tRNAs corresponding amino acid is attached (by aminoacyl-tRNA synthetases). tRNAs cope with the degeneracy of the genetic code in two manners: having more than one tRNA (with a specific anti-codon) for a particular amino acid; and 'wobble' base-pairing, i.e. permitting non-standard base-pairing at the 3rd anti-codon position.
Source: Rfam by way of RNAcentral